UGUGAGAUUCAGGAGGUGAAGGAGCUCAGUGGACGUAUGAAUGGAGACCAGCCAAGUUAAACACACCUCCAACAUCCAGUGAAUACAGAAUCACAGUUACUGAGUCUGACAGUGGAGAUACAGCUGCCGGGGUAAAAGAAGCUUUUACUGGACGAAGUGGAGUGACGCAUUAACUGUAGUAUCGAAACCAAAGGCAGAACUGAGAGCUGAUAGGACAGCUGUUCCAGUAGGGGGCAGUGUGACCCUGACCUGCUCUGUGAGCCCAUCAUCAUCAUCAUCAUCAUCAUCUGGAUGGAAAUACUACUGGUACAGAGAUGGGAAAUCUUAUGAAGCUUUGACAAAUGGACUAAUCAGUGUCUCAGAGGGAGGACUCUACAGCUGCAGAGGAGGAAGAGGAGAACCAGUUUACUACACAGAGGACAGUGAGUCAGUCAGGAUUGUCACAACUGUGUCAAACAGGCCUGUUGUGACUCUGUAUCCAAACUGGUCUGAGAUAUACAGAGGAGAGACGAUCACUGUCAGAUGUGAGAUCCAUGGAGGAGACACUGAGUGGGAUUAUGAGUGGGAAACAAACAGCACCAUAAAACCUCCAAAUCAAAAUGAAUACAGGAUUAGAUCUGCUUCAUCAUCCAACA
Oreochromis niloticus (Nile tilapia) is the source of this 635-nucleotide long non-coding RNA. RefSeq lists it as uncharacterized. The record is from RefSeq and is a predicted model, not a curated record. NCBI's taxonomy places the organism in Eukaryota, Metazoa, Chordata, Actinopteri, Cichliformes, Cichlidae. The transcript has 3 exons.